This 460-nucleotide ribosomal RNA is filed under the name uncultured bacterium. Its description in RNAcentral is "partial 16S ribosomal RNA". It matches the Rfam family "Bacterial small subunit ribosomal RNA", at positions 338 to 795 of the family's 1533-position model. The record is from RNAcentral.
CCUACGGGUGGCAGCAGUGAGGAAUAUUGGUCAAUGGGCGCGAGCCUGAACCAGCCAAGUCGCGUGAGGGAUGACGGCCCUACGGGUUGUAAACCUCUUUUGCCGGGGAGCAACGGUCGUCACGUGUGGCGCCACUGAGAGUACCCGGAUAAAAAGCAUCGGCUAACUCCGUGCCAGCAGCCGCGGUAAUACGGAGGAUGCGAGCGUUAUCCGAAUUUAUUGGGUUUAAAGGGUGCGUAGGCGGAACGUUAAGUCAGUGGUAAAAUUGAGGGGCUAAACCCCUUCCCGCCAUUGAAACUGGCGCUCUUGAGUGGAAGAGAAGUAUGCGGAAUGCGUGGUGUAGCGGUGAAAUGCAUAGAUAUGACGCAGAACCCCGAUUGCGAAGGCAGCAUGCCGGCUUCCGACUGACGCUGAAGCACGAAAGCGUGGGGAUCGAACAGGAUUAGAUACCCUGGUAGUC